CAGUCGCCGCGGUAAUACGAAGGGGGCUAGCGUUGUUCGGAAUUACUGGGCGUAAAGCGCACGUAGGCGGAUAUUUAAGUCAGGGGUGAAAUCCCAGAGCUCAACUCUGGAACUGCCUUUGAUACUGGGUAUCUUGAGUAUGGAAGAGGUGAGUGGAAUUCCGAGUGUAGAGGUGAAAUUCGUAGAUAUUCGGAGGAACACCAGUGGCGAAGGCGGCUCACUGGUCCAUUACUGACGCUGAGGUGCGAAAGCGUGGGGAGCAAACAGGAUUAGAGACCCCCGUAGUCCCUGUCUCUUAUAC
This 301-nucleotide ribosomal RNA is filed under the name uncultured bacterium. Its description in RNAcentral is "partial 16S ribosomal RNA". It matches the Rfam family "Bacterial small subunit ribosomal RNA", at positions 509 to 807 of the family's 1533-position model. The record is from RNAcentral.